GCGGAUGUGGCGCAGUUGGUAGCGCGGCACCGUGCCAAGGUGCAGGUCACCGGUUCGAACCCGGUCAUCCGCU
RNAcentral lists this transfer RNA (73 nucleotides) under Asanoa ferruginea. RNAcentral's name for it is "tRNA-Gly". It matches the Rfam family "tRNA". From Rfam's summary of the family: Transfer RNA (tRNA) molecules are approximately 80 nucleotides in length. Their secondary structure includes four short double-helical elements and three loops (D, anti-codon, and T loops). Further hydrogen bonds mediate the characteristic L-shaped molecular structure. tRNAs have two regions of fundamental functional importance: the anti-codon, which is responsible for specific mRNA codon recognition, and the 3' end, to which the tRNAs corresponding amino acid is attached (by aminoacyl-tRNA synthetases). tRNAs cope with the degeneracy of the genetic code in two manners: having more than one tRNA (with a specific anti-codon) for a particular amino acid; and 'wobble' base-pairing, i.e. permitting non-standard base-pairing at the 3rd anti-codon position. The record is from RNAcentral. Lineage: Bacteria; Bacillati; Actinomycetota; Actinomycetes; Micromonosporales; Micromonosporaceae.